UUAUCUGUGCAUAAUGAGAUCUGCUUGAUUAGUGAGAGUCCACAGCUGGGCUCCUGAACACUGACAGAUGUGCACAGGAAUAUGAGCUCAGAUUUGCGUCUGACUUAUGAGAGCUUCAAAGAGAGGGAUCCAACAAAAUUGAGAUGGAUUUCACAUAGUUAUGGAUCAUUACUGGUGCUCAGAAUAUCUGUUAGACACCAUCAGCCACAGAUAAAAGUGAGAGCUGAAACUAAAAGGAGAGGAUUGGUGCUGCAGGGGACAGCAGAUGAGCUUUACUCAAGCGUCCGACCCUUCGGAGCUCUGAACUUAUUGUCAAAUAAACGGGGUGAGAUUGGGUCAAGCAGACCUACGGCUGAUGCUGCAUAUCACUGAUGCAUGAUGGAGCUCAACACACAUGAACGCUAUUAAACAAGCUGUAGCCAAUGACAUCCAUGAUCAGCUUGACCUCUGACCCCAGGCGACCAACAGCAUGAAUAGAGCUCCAAUAAGCCUGUGUGCACUUGAGGAGAGAGCGGCAAAACAAGCGAACAGUCAGUCACACUGCAAACAUCCUCUGAGAGCAACAGCCACGCUGUUAUUAAUCUCAGACGGCACGCCUACCGACCGACUGAUGUAUACCGCACACAAACAAAAACAUGAGAAGAGUAAAACAUGAAGAAAUGUGCAAAAUCAGAGUGAGUCCUUUCCCAAAGUAAAGGCAAAGAUGAAGAUAUUAUUGAGGAAUGGUGCUUGUUAGAUACAAAACACUAUGAUUUUUCAUUCAUUUUCAUCUGUCAUCGAAUGCAACAUGCACUUUUACAAGUUGUUUGAAAAUAAAUGUGUGUUGGCAGUGUGUGUGUACACAACCCCCCAGCUGUUUAUAUAUAUCGGUAAGACUUGUAAUGUUUUUUAAGUAUCUUAUGCUCAUCCAGGCUGCAUUUAUUUGAUCAAAAAUACAGAAAAAAACAAUAUAACAAAUAAUGGUUUCUAUUUUAAUAUAAUUUCUGUGAUCAAAGCUGUAUUUUCAGCAUAAUUACUCUAGUCUUCAGUGUGACAUGAUCUUCAGAAAUCAUUCUAAUAUGCUGAUUUAUUAAUCAG
Cyprinus carpio carpio is the source of this 1077-nucleotide long non-coding RNA. Lineage: Eukaryota; Metazoa; Chordata; Actinopteri; Cypriniformes; Cyprinidae. The record is from Ensembl.